GAUAUUCUGAGGCGACAGCUUUGUGACUGGACGAGUGAUUGCUUUUACAUUGAUUUAAUGUGCUCAGUUUUCCGGUAAAAUCUACUCAAAAUGCUAAAUCACAUUGCCAGUCUACAUCAAGCAUUUGGGAUAAUCAUCAUGUCUCUUCAAGAAAUCUUAUUAACACGUCCAAUACAUCUCGACGUCCUUACAAAAGCCUGCUUCGACUCAAGCAUCCCAUGUCAGUGUGCAAUGCCAAAUCUGGUUGCUUCUCACCUAAUUGUUGCUUAAAAAGCCGCCUUUGGAGAGCGUUUCCUAUUAUGUAAUUUACAGUCUUGAAAUAAAUAUCCAUUACAUGUUU
Long non-coding RNA from Schistocerca piceifrons (Central American locust), 340 nucleotides. RefSeq lists it as uncharacterized. NCBI's taxonomy places the organism in Eukaryota, Metazoa, Arthropoda, Insecta, Orthoptera, Acrididae. The record is from RefSeq and is a predicted model, not a curated record. The transcript is spliced from 2 exons.